Molecule: long non-coding RNA, 243 nt
Filed under: Lathyrus oleraceus (garden pea)
Lineage: Eukaryota; Viridiplantae; Streptophyta; Magnoliopsida; Fabales; Fabaceae
Description: Pisum sativum (pea) long non-coding RNA (PSAT_LNC039283)
Source: RNAcentral
UUAAAAUCAAGAAAAUAAAAAAAGGAAUUUAAAAUUAAAUAAAGAAAGAAGGAAAGUGUGACACUCUCAUUUUGGAUGGCAGCCCCGAGUCUGAUAUACACCAUUCCAAUUCUCUCACUCAGAUCCAUAUUUUUUCCUCUCAUGUUCAUAAAUCAAAAUAAUAAAAAAGGGUGGAAAAAAGAACAACAAAUAAAUUAUCUUCUUCUUCUUGCAUCAUGUUGUAUGCAACACUACUCCCUCCAC